This 177-nucleotide RNase MRP RNA is filed under the name Alexandrium andersonii. RNAcentral's name for it is "partial RNase MRP". It matches the Rfam family "RNase MRP", at positions 69 to 258 of the family's 266-position model. Rfam says of the family: RNase MRP is an enzymatically active ribonucleoprotein with two distinct roles in eukaryotes. In mitochondria it plays a direct role in the initiation of mitochondrial DNA replication. Lineage: Eukaryota; Dinophyceae; Gonyaulacales; Pyrocystaceae. The record is from RNAcentral.
GGAAAGUCCCCGUGCCCACGGGCAGAGAGUGCCAGCGGGCGACCGCCGGGCCCCAGCGCAGGCACGCGCGGUGACACCAACGGUGGAGCUGCCGUGCCCGGCUGUCGCCCUUCGCAUCAGCACGGCCAUGUCGCGAGCGCUUGCCUCGAGGCGCCAACUGAACGGGGCUCACUCUCC